GAAGAAGGCCUUCGGGUUGUAAAGCCCUUUUGUUGGGAAAGAAAUCCACCGGCUAAUACCUGGUUGGGAUGACGGUACCCAAAGAAUAAGCACCGGCUAACUUCGUGCCAGCAGCCGCGGUAAUACGAAGGGUGCAAGCGUUACUCGGAAUUACUGGGCGUAAAGCGUGCGUAGGUGGUUGUUUAAGUCUGUUGUGAAAUGCCCUGGGCUCAACCUGGGAACUGCAUUGGAAACUGGACAGACUAGAGUGUGGUAGAGGGUAGCGGAAUUCCCGGUGUAGCAGUGAAAUGCGUAGAGAUCGGGGAGGAACAUCCGAUGGCGAAGGGCAGCUACCUUGGACCCAACACUUGACACUUGAGGUCACGAAAGCGUGGGGAGCAAACAGGAUUAGAUACCCGUGGUAGUCCACGCCCUAAAAGAUGCGAAACUUGGAUGUUGGGGUGCAAUUUUGGCACGCAUUAUCGAAGCUAACGCUGUUAAGUUCGCCGCCUGGGGAGUACGGUCGCAAGACUGAAACUCAAAGGAAUUGACGGGGGCCCGCACAAGCGGUGGACGUAUGUGGUUUAAUUCGAUGCAACGCGAAGAACCUUACCUGGCCUUGACUAUGUCGAGAACUUUCCAGAGAUGGAUUGGUGCCUUCGGGAACU
RNAcentral lists this ribosomal RNA (647 nucleotides) under Stenotrophomonas sp. 4PR. RNAcentral describes it as "bacterial SSU rRNA". It matches the Rfam family "Bacterial small subunit ribosomal RNA", at positions 407 to 1028 of the family's 1533-position model. The record is from RNAcentral. Lineage: Bacteria; Pseudomonadati; Pseudomonadota; Gammaproteobacteria; Lysobacterales; Lysobacteraceae.